UGUGCAGGACACCUGAGGGGACACGUGGACGCCUGCCAGAUGCACUAGGAAUCAGGACAGGACAGACUGCACACAGAACCCUUCCCACAAGUGAAGAACAGCCCAGGAUUGGCUCCUGCUGCCUCACUGUACCCACACAGACUCCCAAACGUGCUCAGUAUAAAUAGUUUAUUAAAGAAAAUAGCAAAUUCCAAUUCUGUGAACAAUCAACAGGGGAGAAGUGUUUUUCAAAAUAGACAAUUUUGGAUUACUGUGUGUGAAGGGACAGGGGAUCCCAUGAGGUGGGAGGGAAACAUAAAAACACAAAUGUUCUGGGGUGACAGGAAAGCCUCAGCCCCUGCAGAAAUGCCUGGAAAGGGGAACAGGAGUGGGACAGAAGUGCCAAUGACAAAGACACAACAGGAGACAACAGAUUAAAACAUUAAACUGGGACUGAAACUCUUCUAAGCACUGCAGGGCAGGAAGGACUUUGCUCCACGUGUGCAGCACCUUGGUCUGUGGGCUGAGCUCAGUGAAUGAUCUCAAUUAAAAGAAAUAUACAAUAAUCCAAGUGUCAAAUAGAACCUUUUGUGACUCCAUGCUGUGAGAGCACCUUUCAUUCCCUUUGCAGAUUGGUUUACAUUUCUCUGAUCACUGUUGAAGGACAGAAAAUACAACACCAGAAAGACACAGAGUUAUGCAGUGCACACCCACCACAGACAGAAAGGGAGGAGCUGAACUGCCUUCUGCACUUGGGAAAGUGGCAUUGAAAAGCUCUAAAUCAGUUUGAAGAUAUUUUCCAAGAGAGAAUUUUCCUACUUGUGAGAAACCCUGUGAUCAAUGGUGCACUCAGCACAGGAUCUCCUUCCCCACAUCCCCCUCUGAAGUGUCUCUGCCUUGAGGAAGCUGAGGUGGGAAACUUUGGCACUUCCUGGAGGGACAUCAAAAGCUCUCCCAGCCUGUGGGUUCCACGUGUGCUUUGGGGACAGAAGAGGUCACAGAGGGGCUGCAGGUCCAGGUGUAGAAGUGCAUAGAAGAGUCCCAGCUGAGCACUGGAAAGGCCCAGCCUGAGAUGAGGUUACAGAAACACCGAGCCAGGAAAUGCUCCUUCCCCCAGGCAAGCUCCAGGAAGCACUUACCCAAUCCCAACGUUUCCCAGAGCAGUGGAAAUAAGAAAAGUGAAAUCAAAAAAAGUAUUUGGAAGUGUCAGUUUGCUCUUGCUGUGUGAACUGGAUCACUUGAUCUUGGCCAGUGCUGCUGCUCUCCUCUCUGUGUUCUGGAACAGGGCUCGGAUCAGGCUCUUCACCUCAGCUGCUGAAAAUUCCUCUGCCAGAGGCCCCUUGCCAUCUGCCCACCUGGAUGGGAGACAGGGAGAGCUUUAUGUCACCAACCUGCCCAGAAAUGGCACCUCCAACAAGCCUCCAAGGACCUGUGCCAGCAGCUGAUCCUGACCCUCUCCUCUGGAAAAGGAAACAGAAAGGAAAAGGAGAGGAAAAGGAAAAGGGAAAAAAAGGAAAAGUUCCUGCUCUUCCUGUGAACUGCAGCUCCCUGGCACAGGUCUGGAGAAGCAGCUGGAAAGGAAAACACCUACUGAUCCACGAUUUCUUGGAGGUUGGCCUGCAGGAUGAUCAUCAGCUCCUUGAAUGUCAUCCACUUCUGCACAUAGACUGGAACCUCCUCUUGGUACUUCUUGUUUUUGUCUUCUUCAAGCAGAGGGGUGAAAACUUGGGGUCCUUCCUCCACCAUGAUCCUGCAGAGUGAGUACAGCCUGUCUGCAUCCUGUGCAGAGAUAUCCUGGAAUGGGGAGGACAUGAACAGAGCUCAAGUGAGGUUUGUUUCUGGAGUGCCAAGUGAAAUGAAAAAAUGAGAUUGUGAACAUUUCCCGUGGAUACAUAAUUUGUGUGUGGAUGAAUUGCUCCCCUGAAAUGUGAUUUUGGGGAGUUUCUGGAGGUGACAAACACUGUCCCCAGCACCCCCCAUGGCUGUUACCUCCAGGGCAGCAAUCCUGGUGACAAUCUCUGCCAGGGCUGUGUUCAGUAAGGCCCCCAUGGCCUUGCAGUACACGUUCACAGGGAGCACAUCCUGCCACACCAUGCCCAGCCUCCUCAGCUGGUGCAAAACCUGCAAGGAACAGCACAGUGUGACACCAGACAGAACCCUGGGAAAGGCACCAGGGCAUCAGGAGAGUACAAACGGGGAGAAACAAUGGAGCAAUCCUGCUCAAGACACAGCCCAGGACAAAAAACCCAAACCAUCACAUCAGAAAAUAGUUUUUUCAGCACAGCUGUCAGGGCUGAGAUUCCACACUGCACCUCCCCAGGAUCCCUGCAGGCACUGGAUGCUCUUUCUCUGCCCCCCUCACCUGCUUUAUGGCUUUAUUUGCUGCACAGUAAUUCUCCUCAUCAUCCAUGUUGGAAAAAUUCCUGGCACUCGAGAGCCUCUCCAGGAUUUCUCCCUUCUGCACUCGCAUCUGGGCCAGAAAACACUCCAUCCCUUUAGGAGCAAAGCAAGCAGAGAGAAGCAAUUAAACAAUUACUAAAUCUGCUCUGCCUAUUUAUGACUGUAAGUGCUGAAUAAUGAACUUGCUAUAAUGUUUUAUUUUUAAUCAAAUUUCCAGUCUCCAAACAGUCUCCUAGAGCCAGUUUAACCAGUGAGCUCUAGUGCAGCUUGCAUUGCUGCAACACUGCUGGAAAAAAGCAGAGCAGCAGAAUGAACUCUGGAUGACUCCUGUUAGCUCACACAAACCUAUCUCUGAAUUUACUUCUGUGGAAUAACUAAGGAAAGUAUCACAGGACUGAGCAGCAGAUCCCAGAACACAUCUUGCUGGAUACUGUUCUUGGGACUAAGUUCACAAGGAACACAGGUUUCAAAGAGCCAAAACUUCCUAACUCCGAAAAUGUCUCCGCCAAACAACAACUUGUCCGAACAAAACAAAUCUGAGCGAGCAGCCCCACCUCCACGAAACCACUCAGCAAGUGGCAGGGUGAACUCCCAGGAGAAACAUCCUGAAAAAUCUGUGCAUCGGACCUGAGGUCAAAGUUACGUGGCUGGAAACAAAUACAGCUGUGUGAGAUUGAUCAUAGACUGACGACACAGAAACUCAAGCACCUGCCUUGCACAGGUAAGGUUUAAUUAGAGACUGGCCAGUUGAUUUUUGCAGAUGGAGCUGUAGUGGACAAGUGGGACUGUGCCAACAGCAGCACUCCCCCUCAGAGCAGGAAAUGUGGACACACUCACCUGUGGUAUGUGGGCACUACCUCAUAGAAGAGCUGGAAGAUGUUCCUGACACAGGCAAAGAGCUGCACACAGCUACGAGAGAAAGAGAGCUCAUGUCAGCCUGGCAUUAAUGUCCUGUUCACAGCUGCCCCUCAGCCUGCCCAAACAGGGCUCCUGUCAGCCUGGCAUUAAUGUCCUGUUCACAGCUGCCCCUCAG
Long non-coding RNA from Passer domesticus (house sparrow), 3412 nucleotides. RefSeq lists it as uncharacterized. The transcript has 3 exons. The record is from RefSeq and is a predicted model, not a curated record. Lineage: Eukaryota; Metazoa; Chordata; Aves; Passeriformes; Passeridae.